RNAcentral lists this ribosomal RNA (253 nucleotides) under uncultured bacterium. RNAcentral describes it as "partial 16S ribosomal RNA". It matches the Rfam family "Bacterial small subunit ribosomal RNA", at positions 524 to 776 of the family's 1533-position model. The record is from RNAcentral.
UACGUAGGCAGCGAGCGUUGUUCGGAGUUACUGGGCGUAAAGGGUGUGUAGGCGGUUGUUUAAGUUUGGUGUGAAAUCUCCCGGCUCAACUGGGAGGGUGCGCCGAAUACUGAGGGACUAGAGUACGGGAGAGGAAAGUGGAAUUCCUGGUGUAGCGGUGAAAUGCGUAGAUAUCAGGAGGAACACCGGUGGUGUAGACGGCUUUCUGGACCGUAACUGACGCUGAAACACGAAAGCGUGGGUAGCAAACAGG